GUGUCAGCCGCCGCGGUAAUACGGAGGGUGCAAGCGUUGUCCGGAUUUAUUGGGUUUAAAGGGUGCGUAGGCGGCUAAUUAAGUCAGCGGUGAAAUUCCACAGCUCAACUGUGGAACUGCCAUUGAUACUGGUUGGCUUGAGUACAGAUGAGGUAGGCGGAAUUGACAGUGUAGCGGUGAAAUGCUUAGAUAUUGUCAAGAACACCUAUUGCGAAGGCAGCUUACUAAGCUGUAACUGACGCUGAGGCACGAAAGCGUGGGGAUCAAACAGGAUUAGAAACCCGCGUAGUCC
Molecule: ribosomal RNA, 292 nt
Filed under: uncultured bacterium
Lineage: Bacteria
Description: partial 16S ribosomal RNA
Rfam family: Bacterial small subunit ribosomal RNA
Source: RNAcentral